UACGGAGGGUGCAAGCGUUAUCCGGAUUCACUGGGUUUAAAGGGUGCGUAGGCGGGCAGGUAAGUCAGUGGUGAAAUCUCCAAGCUUAACUUGGAAACUGCCGUUGAUACUAUCUGUCUUGAAUGUUGUGGAGGUGAGCGGAAUAUGUCAUGUAGCGGUGAAAUGCUUAGAUAUGACAUAGAACACCAAUUGCGAAGGCAGCUCACUACACAAUUAUUGACUCUGAGGCACGAAAGCGUGGGGAUCAAACAGG
RNAcentral lists this ribosomal RNA (253 nucleotides) under uncultured bacterium. Its description in RNAcentral is "partial 16S ribosomal RNA". It matches the Rfam family "Bacterial small subunit ribosomal RNA", at positions 524 to 776 of the family's 1533-position model. The record is from RNAcentral.